CCUACGUGAGGCAGCAGUGAGGAAUAUUGGUCAAUGGGCGCGAGCCUGAACCAGCCAAGUAGCGUGAAGGAUGACUGCCCUACGGGUUGUAAACUUCUUUUAUAAAGGAAUAAAGUGAGGCACGUGUGCCUUUUUGUAUGUACUUUAUGAAUAAGGAUCGGCUAACUCCGUGCCAGCAGCCGCGGUAAUCCGGAGGAUCCGAGCGUUAUCCGGAUUUAUUGGGUUUAAAGGGAGCGUAGAUGGGUUGUUAAGUCAGUUGUGAAAGUUUGCGGCUCAACCGUAAAAUUGCAAUUGAUACUGGCAGUCUUGAGUACAGUUGAGGUAGGCGGAAUUCGUGGUGUAGCGGUGAAAUGCUUAGAGAUCACGAAGAACUCCGAUUGCGAAGGCAGCUUACUAAACUGCCACUGACAUUGAUGCUCGAAAGUGUGGGUAUCAAACAGGAUUAGAUACCCCAGUAGUC
Molecule: ribosomal RNA, 460 nt
Filed under: uncultured bacterium
Lineage: Bacteria
Description: partial 16S ribosomal RNA
Rfam family: Bacterial small subunit ribosomal RNA
Source: RNAcentral